RNAcentral lists this ribosomal RNA (468 nucleotides) under uncultured bacterium. RNAcentral's name for it is "partial 16S ribosomal RNA". It matches the Rfam family "Bacterial small subunit ribosomal RNA", at positions 28 to 507 of the family's 1533-position model. The record is from RNAcentral.
GACGAACGCUGGCGGCGUGCUUAACACAUGCAAGUCGAACGGAAAGGCCCUGCUUUUGUGGGGUGCUCGAGUGGCGAAAGGGUGAGUAACACGUGAGUAACCUGCCCUUGACUUUGGGAUAACUUCAGGAAACUGGGGCUAAUACCGGAUAGGAGCUCCUGCUGCAUGGUGGGGGUUGGAAAGUUUCGGCGGUUGGGGAUGGACUCGCGGCUUAUCAGCUUGUUGGUGGGGUAGUGGCUUACCAAGGCUUUGACGGGUAGCCGGCCUGAGAGGGUGACCGGCCACAUUGGGACUGAGAUACGGCCCAGACUCCUACGGGAGGCAGCAGUGGGGAAUAUGGCACAAUGGGCGGAAGCCUGAUGCAGCAACGCCGCGUGCGGGAUGACGGCCUUCGGGUUGUAAACCGCUUUCGCCUGUGACGAAGCGUGAGUGACGGUAAUGGGUAAAGAAGCACCGGCUAACUACGUG